This is a long non-coding RNA of Orbicella faveolata, 164 nucleotides long. NCBI's taxonomy places the organism in Eukaryota, Metazoa, Cnidaria, Anthozoa, Scleractinia, Merulinidae. The record is from RefSeq and is a predicted model, not a curated record.
GAAACCAAAAAAGACAAAAAAUUCAGUGGAACCUGAUGCAGAAGAAUUAACCACAUCUGUCAAUGGUAAUACAAGCUCACCAAACAUCAUCAUAGAGCCGAAUUCAAGAAAACGAAAAUCAUCAGAGCAUACCACAGAGUACAAGUACUGUUGUUGCAAACUGG